AUUCUCCUUGAUUCUCAGGAGCAGUUCUCUGAUCUCAUCUGCAAACUCUUUUGAUACUUUGGGAUAGAAUUUGUAUUAACAGAAGUUUUGAAGUCAUUCAGAAUGCCACAUGACCAACGUGGGGUCACCAAUUGGAACAGGGAAGAGAUGUGCACAAUGGCCCUCUCUCCAGCUUGUGUGAGCCGGCUCCAACACACAUCCUGUGGAGCGAGAGUUUGGUUGAAAUUUUUAAAAAAUGAAAUAGAACCACAAAGAAAAUAUCAGAACACAUUGCACUUAGUAAAGAUGGAGUCUCGCUAUGUUGCCCAGGCUGGACUUGAACUCCUGUACUCAAGCCAUCCUCCCGCCCCUGCCUCUUGAAGUGCUGGGAUUACAGAACAAGGGGGAGUCUCCCUGCACAAGCUCUCUCUCUUUGCCUGCUGUCAUCCACCUAAGAUGUAACUUGCUCCUCCUUGCCUUCCACCAUGAUUGUGAGGCUUCCCCAGCCACGUGGAACUGCUUCUUCUCUGGUUUCCUGUUCUGACCUCCUCUCAACCAUGAAUGCCUAUACUGUGUUGGUGGCCCUGAUGAAGAAAUGUGCUUCUUCAUUUAGACCCAGGAUGGCUGACGGUUUUCUGAUUGAUUCGUAGCAAAACCUGGAAAGCUAGAUUGAGCGAUUUAAAGCCCAGGCCAAGUGCAGCAGCUUGCUUGAGUCCUGGUGGAAAAGGCCUUGUAUGGAAGCCCCAGGGACAACUUCCACCACUGAGGAAUUUUCAGUCUUCUGCAUCUGUCAAUCAACUGAACCAUUUAUAGCUGGUGUCUUCUUUUCUCGUGCCCAUAAGCCCUGUCACUGUUGAGCUGGGCCCACCUUAAGACUGAUGUCCUUUGCAAUUUCUGGGACUACUGCAAGUGCUCCUAACUGUCCUCCCUGCCUCCAGCCUUCCAACCUGCAGCCACUCGAGUUGCCUUCCUACACGUCAGAGCCGACCAUGCCAUUCUCCUGCUUAAAAACCCAUCUCACUGGCUAUGGGACCAAAUGAAACCUUCAAUGCUUGACACACAAGCCUUUUCCAACGUGGCCGACAAACACACACUUGCACAAACACACCCACACACACAUACUUAUUAAUUCAGUAACACAGACAUUUAGCAGUUCACCAAACAUGCCUGAUUUUUCACAACUCUGCAUACUCUGUUUCCUCUAUCUAGAAUGUUCUUCCCUGUCUGUAUCUGGCAAACCCUAAAUCCCGCACGAUGCUUUGCCUAACCUCUCAGGUAGACCCGCAGUGUUGCUGCUGUGAAAGGAAAAUAACUCUUGGGACCCCCAAAUCACUACACUAAAGAAAAAAGUCAAGCUGGAAAUUGCUUAAGGCAAAACUGCCUCCCAUUCUAUUCAGAGUCAUCCCUCUGCUCACUGAAAUAAAUGCGUAUCUGAUUGCCUCCUUCUGAAAGGCUAAUCAGAAACUCAAUGCAAAUGGUUAUUGAGAAACCAAUGGUUAUUUGUCUCUCACCUACUUAUGACCUGGAAGCACCACCCCCCCGCCCUCACCUUUCUGGACAGAACCAAUGUACAUCUUACAUAUAUUGAUUGAUGUCUCAUGUCUCCCUAAAAUGUAUGAAACCAAGCUGUGCCCUGACUACCUUGAGCAUAUAUCGUCAGGACCUCCUGAGGCUGUGUUAUGGGCAUGCAUCCUUAACUUUGGCAAAAUAAACUUUCUAAAUUGAUGAAGACCUGUCUCACAUAUUUUGAGUUAAUAAUUUGGUGACCAACGUAAGUGACUCGGAAUGGAGGUGGCUCUGGCCUUUGGAAAAUCUUCUAUGGCCACUUGGUACAAGCUUGAGCUAUCUUUAUGGCUCAAACUGUCACAGGCGUUUGAAUCAGAGCAACUCCAUUUUGAAUAUGGGCUGGGUGAGGUAAGGCUAAAACCUACCGGGCUGCAUUCCCGGGAUGUUAGACAUUCUAAGUCACAGGAUAAGAUAGGAGGUCAACACAAGAUACGGAUCAUAAAGACCUUGCUGAUAAAACAGGAUGUGGCAAAGAAGCUAGCCAAAACUCACCAAAACCAAGAUGGCAAUGAAAGUGACCUCUGGUCGUCCUCACUGCUUAGCAUGCGUUAGCAUGUUAAGAGACACUCCCACCAGCACCAUGACAGUUUACAGAUGCCAUGGCAACAUCAGGAAGUUACCCUAUAUGGUCUAAAAAGGAGACAAACCCUCAGUUGUGGGAAUUACCUACCCCUUUCCUGGAAAACUCAUGAAUAAUGUACCCCUUGUUUAGCAUAUAAUCAAGAAGUAGCAAUAAGCAUCAUCAGUACAGCAGCCCAUGCUGCUGCUCUGCCUAUGGAGUAGCCAUUCAUUCUUCCUUUACUUUCCUAAUAAACUUGCUUUCACUUUACUCUAUGGACUCGCUCCAAAUUCUUUCUUGGGUGAGAUCCAAACCCUUUCUUGGGGUCUAGAUUGGGACCCCUUUCUGAUAACAUCUUCCUGGCAAACUUCAAAGGGGUGAUACUGAGGAGACCCACCCCCCAACAACAAAGGAAACAGGUCGCAGCACCAAUCAGCUGACUUUGGGUGAGUGGUGAGGUAUCUGGGUAAAGGAUGGGAUUGGGUUAGAGGCCCAGCUUAGGGGAGUUAGAGUUUCUCCCAAGACAGAGUGGGGUUAAAGGCCCCUCUUAAUAAGGGCAAGGACACCUGACCAAACUUGGGUUGGAAGCCCAACUUAGGAAGGUUAGAGUCCUUCCUAAGAGUUAAGGGGUUAGAAACCGCCCCCUCCCCGCAGUAAAAUCCCUCUCUGCUAAGAAUGGGUUCAGCACUACGGGGUGUUAUACGCUAUUCUCUUUGGAUUAAUCUGCCUUGCACUCUUUGCUGAUGGCUGUGGGUGACAGGAUUAAGCAGGUACAGGAUCAUGGGACAUUGGGAGUCUUUUCCUCCCUGAUGGAGGAAACUUGAGAGCCGAUGGGACUGCUGGAAAAGAUCCCUUUGUGACUGACAAGCAGCCGCCUGAACUUUUUGAUUCAGUGCAAUGGGUGGGUCUUUCUCUGGCCUCCCUGAGUGCCUUGCCUUCCCUACCCUGCCGCAGGCAGUGCUUUUCUCUCUCUUUCUCAACUUUCUCUUUGUUAUCUUUUCUGUUACUCAGGGCAACCAUCUUGCCCAGAGACCGCAUGUUGAAACCCCUGGUAGAAGAUCAUUCCAACACACUUUGAAUGGAUCAAAGGUGACGAGUCCAACUGGGGAAAAAUUUGAGUCUUGCCAGUUCAAUAUUGGGUCCUAAGUGGAGUGGCUAAUGUCUGUGUUUUGUCACAGGUAUUUUGCUCUGGCUGGAAUAGAAAAUGUUAAUUCUGUUCCCCCAGGCAGCCGGUUGGGCAGCCACUUGCAAAAUUGAGAGGAUUUUGCCUAUGGUUUCAUGAUUUUCCUUUGUGUUGUG
RNAcentral lists this long non-coding RNA (3403 nucleotides) under Homo sapiens (human). Its description in RNAcentral is "non-protein coding lnc-CCDC71L-1:5". Lineage: Eukaryota; Metazoa; Chordata; Mammalia; Primates; Hominidae. The record is from RNAcentral.